Non-coding RNA from Taeniopygia guttata (zebra finch), 1595 nucleotides. The record is from RefSeq and is a predicted model, not a curated record. Lineage: Eukaryota; Metazoa; Chordata; Aves; Passeriformes; Estrildidae.
CGCCGGAAUUAGAGGGGCCUUCGGGAGCCCCCAAACCUACAGGCAGGGUGGCAGAAGAGAGCGCGUAGAGACUGCAGGAGCAGCGCACUUCCACAGGCAGCCUGGAACAAGAAUUAGUCUCGCAAAAUACCGUGUGGCAAAAAGGUUCUGUUUUCCACUCUCCUGCUACCUGUAUUUCCCCUAGCUGGUAGCUAAGAAACCAUACAUUCUACUCACCAUCUGUCUGGGCCUUCCUUCCAUAGGACCAAAGUGAACAGCCCUUGCACUCUCCCAGCAUUUUGCAGUACAUUUGCCAUAUUGCACAGCUUCAAUUUGACCAAAGCACCAAGCUGUCAGGAUUGUUCUGUACGUUGCUUACCAGUGCAGAUGGCAGCAGAAGCAAGCACUUUGGCAAGAUUCAGUUCUCUUGGCAGCAGGUGCUCUCCAACCCUGCCUUCAUAAAAGAGGACAGUGCACAGGCAACAGUGCAUCUUCUGAUCAGAGGCAGAACUUGGAAACAAAUCUUUCAAAGACUCAUUCAUUAAGCAAAAUUAUGGAAGACUAAAAGAAUUGUGAAGUAUCACAUCCAACUGGACUGUAUGUUUAGCCAAGCAUGCAAAACCCCCAGAAUUAGAAAGAUUGAUAUUUACUGCCUACAAGAAACUGAAAUGUUGAGAAAAAGCAAAAGUGGGUAUCCCUUGCAGGAUGAGACAGCACAGGACAGCAUAACAUGGAACCGCUUGCAUGUGGCAUUGGUUAAGUGUUUCAGCAUUACCCUAAUUCUGUCCCAUAGCUAAGAAAAAAUAUACAAAAUUAACCUCACUUUCCCUAUUUUAACUGUAGCUCAGACCAGAAUUUUUGGGGUUGUUACUGUCUUAAGGGGGCACUGAAGGAACAGAUGCAUGCUGCAUCUCCUCCAAGCCCUGUACAAACAGAUCCGUUCUGGUAAAAAAGGUAAAGGCUACACUUGCCUGUAAGUACUCAUUCUCCCUCAAAAAUGCAGUUCUGGUCUCCAAGUUAGACUUAAAACAAUAUUGAAUCCACUUAAGCUAUUUCAUUUCUCCCUGAUCCUAGGGAUAUCCCCUUCUCACGGAUAAAGAUCCCAGCAUGUGAAUGAGCCCUGAAUGGCUUAGCUCCUCCUCAUUCCAAGAUCAUCUGUAUUCCUGAAGAAAAGUAAUAAAGUUUAAAAUAUUCAUCUAAAAGUAAGAGACAAUAAGGAAAAAUAAAAAAACUAAUAAACAGAAGGAAAAAAACAAAACCAAAAAUAACUAAAAAAAACACAGCAAAAAGCAAACCAAACCCAAGACAAACAGAAUCUUAACCAUAUUCUUUAAUGUUGUACAAAACAAAAAAUUGGUGAGUAUUACAAUGAUAAGGGAUUAUAACACUGGUAGCCCAUUGCCAUCUCUCUAGCUAAACAGUUGAGAUUCACUUCUCUGUUCAUACCCUAGAAUGUUUAGUGGCCUUCAGGAACAGAAAGACUUAAAAAAAUCCUUGUGUCACACAUAUUCGUUUCUCUACAGUUCAAAGCUGUGCUCACAGAGACGGCUUCUUCUACUGGAGUCUUCAGGUAUAUAGGAAUUCAGUUGUAAAUAAAGUUGAACCUAAAAUUAAAA